RNAcentral lists this long non-coding RNA (1171 nucleotides) under Mustela putorius furo (domestic ferret). Its description in RNAcentral is "lncRNA (ENSMPUG00000029017.1)". The record is from RNAcentral. Lineage: Eukaryota; Metazoa; Chordata; Mammalia; Carnivora; Mustelidae.
GACCCUCUGGAAACCACUGGAUCUUUGAGGAAAUGGUGGUCCACAGAGCCAGACACAUGGAUACAGCAGAGUCCCUCCCCCCAAGAAGAUGACAGAGUGGCCGGGGAGACAGGCGUGCACACAGCCUAGAAGGCUUCUUCGGGGACUCCUGAGGACUUCAGCUGGCAUGUUCACCAUACCUCUCGGCAGCUGCCUACAUGUGGGCUUCUGUGGAGUUUCUGUCACGCUCUGGACCUGGCCCUGCAUGGUGGCGGCAGGCACUCUGUGGAUUUCCAACUAGACAGCCUUAUUCAUUUUCACGGUGAUUACCAGUGAUGGUACUCGGUCAAAGCAGGCGGAACCGACCAAGAUGCUGCGGAUUCGAGGGACGGGUACCUUUCUAUUGAGUUUCCACAUUGAAGCCCUCAUGUUCCCCUCAGAUUGGUCCAUUCCUGAGCGGGCAUUAGACACGCUUUUGUAACUGAUGUCAGAACUGGCCAGGAGUGAGAAGUAGGGCCUAACCCCUGAUUUCCCGCGGGGAUCUGGAAUCAGCACAGCUAAUAGGAGAAGAAGGGCCAAACGACAGAGAACCACCAACAGGCGUAUGGGGAAACCAUCUGAGCCACAGCGUGAGCAGAGUAAGAAGGUUUCCGUCUUUCAGACUGGAUGCUGGUCUACCUUGCGCAGAAUGGCGGCCUGUGGAGAUGGCCCCAGGGCAGAAAAACAGGUUCUCCACAGCCAAAGUGCUCCUCCGUGUGGGAGCCAGGGAGGCAGGGAUAGCAUGAUCCCAUGCUCUGUGCCCAAGCAUGACACAGUAUUUUCAAAGGUUUGGUUGAAUGAAUCAAGGUCGAGAAGCCGGCAUGGGGGCGACUCCGGGCUUCAGGAGCACUCCGGUGCCUCGCCGCCUGAUGGAUGGCAGUCCUUAAGCCUGACUGAGCUUUCACAGUUGAAACCAUUAAAGAAAAGCCCACUUCCUUAGAAGAUGCUGGACGUCCUAUGACUUACCUCUCUGUGCCUGGGGCUCAUCUCCUGAAAAAGGGCAGAAUAACAGCACCCACCUCAAAGGGCCCAGCAAGCCGUUAGCGAAGGCUGAUGUUCUCCUCUAUGGUGGGUUGCUGGGAGGCUGGGAAGCUCCAUGCUAUCACUCUGCCUGUAUGCUUGUCAAUAAAUCACUUUACCUCUCUUGGCCUUA